Molecule: long non-coding RNA, 1301 nt
Organism: Gordionus sp. m RMFG-2023
Lineage: Eukaryota; Metazoa; Nematomorpha; Gordioida; Chordodea; Parachordodidae
Exons: 5
Source: RefSeq, a predicted model, not a curated record
CCCUCAAACCUCUACUCCUGAUGCCAUAACUCAAGAAAAUUAAUUUCAAAUCAAGCCUCAUGAAUUACAAAUUUGUCAUCUCCUCUAACUUAUAGUUAUGAUACCAUUGCCCAUCAAAAUAUUAUUUCAAAUCAAGGAAAACUGCUUCAUGGCAGAAUACAUUGUCGAUGUAGAAAAGUUGUCUGCAGGGUUUAUGCAAAUUUGAUGCAUUGUAUAUAUAACCUCCGGUUUGCAUGAACAUCAAAAUGAAGUCGGUCUGUCUGAAAAGCUGAGAACUCACCAGGUUCUAGAUGAUAUUGUUACCGAAAAUCCUCUAGAAACUAGGCACAAUAUAUAGGAAAAGCUUUAAAUAAAAGAAUUUGGAAACGCCAAACAUAAAUAUGUAACUGGAGGCGAUGCCCUCACCAUAUAUUUCAAUAAAAAGUAAAAUAGAUCUAUUAUCACAAAAAAGUUGGCCCUCUUUAGAGUCCGUCAAUGAAAUAGUUCUAUUGCCCAAAUAUAUCACCAAAAAUAGCGGUGAUAUAUUUUUAAUUAAUGAUGAUAAUAAUAGAUUGGUAUUUGGUACAUGUGACAUACUGAAGCUCAUUAAAACAUAUAUGGAUGGAACAUUUUAUGUUGUGCCACGACUUUACUAUCAAUUAUAUACCAUUCAUGUCUCAUAUCAUCAUACUAUGAUACCUAUCGCUUAUGCACUCCUUCCUGAUAAGCCACAUGUAUAGAAUUAUUUAGAAAAAAUUCUAAGAUACUGUUCAGAAAAUAAUAUAAUAUUUUAUCCUAGAUACGUGCAGACUGAUUAUGAGGCUGCUGCAAUAUCAGCUCUAAGAUUUGUUUUUCCUACAAUGUUCAUUAAAGGCCUUUUCUUCCACUUUUCCCAAGUCAUAUGGCGGAAAUGUCAGGCUUUAUGGUUAACAAUAGUAUAUAGAGACAAUUCCACUCUUCACAAAGUAAUUCAGACGUAUGACUACUUUGCCCUUUUGCAUUGAGGAAGAUAUCUCCGAAGUUAGGGCAUAGUUUCUUGCCAUGUCACUUGAAAAUCUUUUGCUAAUAAAUUUUAUGCAAUAUGGAUCUGACAUUGCUUUCCAUUAAUGCCUGGGUAUAUUAAAAAAAUAUCAAUUAAUGGUUCCUAGGAUGAAUAAUCAUUUAGAAGGAUAUCAUCAUAGUAUCAAACGAAAAACACUAUGUGCACAUCCGAACAUAUAUUCCUUAAUCAAAAUUUUAAAAAGAUCUCAACAUGCUUCUGAGCCUAAAUUAAUUCAAAUUAAUAGCGGGUUGAAUGUUAAUGGAAAAAAAUCGGAAAUAUA